RNAcentral lists this ribosomal RNA (253 nucleotides) under uncultured bacterium. RNAcentral's name for it is "partial 16S ribosomal RNA". It matches the Rfam family "Bacterial small subunit ribosomal RNA", at positions 524 to 776 of the family's 1533-position model. The record is from RNAcentral.
UACGGGGGGGGCAAGCGUUGUUCGGAAUUACUGGGCGUAAAGGGCUCGUAGGCGGCCAACUAAGUCAGACGUGAAAUCCCUCGGCUUAACCGGGGAACUGCGUCUGAUACUGGAUGGCUUGAGUUUGGGAGAGGGAUGCGGAAUUCCAGGUGUAGCGGUGAAAUGCGUAGAUAUCGGGAAGAACACCCGUGGCGAAGGCGGCUCUCUGGGACGGUACUGACGCUGAGACGCGAAAGCGUGGGGAGCGAACAGG